GGAUAGGAGUCUCAAAUCUCGAAGGGAAGAAGGGGAACAUCGGGGGUUCUAAUGAGAAUUUUAACACUAAAUGUGGGAGGGUUCGGGAACUCUGUGAAGUGGAGGUAUGUUAAGGACUACAUUAGAAAGGAAGAUGUCAAAAUGGUAUGUUUGCAAGAAGUAAGAAUGGAAAGUUUUAGUUUAAAUAAGUGUUGCCAACUAUGGGGGG
Molecule: long non-coding RNA, 208 nt
Filed under: Phaseolus vulgaris (common bean)
Lineage: Eukaryota; Viridiplantae; Streptophyta; Magnoliopsida; Fabales; Fabaceae
Description: long non-coding RNA (PVUL_LNC000296)
Source: RNAcentral